GCGUCGGUGGCUCAGGGGUUAAGCACUAGAUUUGCAAUCUACUGGUCCUGGGUUCGAAUCCCGCCAUGUA
This 70-nucleotide transfer RNA is filed under the name Papilio machaon (common yellow swallowtail). It matches the Rfam family "tRNA". Rfam says of the family: Transfer RNA (tRNA) molecules are approximately 80 nucleotides in length. The record is from Rfam by way of RNAcentral. Lineage: Eukaryota; Metazoa; Arthropoda; Insecta; Lepidoptera; Papilionidae.